UACGUAGGGAGCGAGCGUUAUCCGGAAUUAUUGGGCGUAAAGGGUGCGUAGAUGGUUGAUAUAAGUCUUUUGUAAAAAUGCUAGGCUCAACCUAGUAGGGCAAAAGAUACUGAUGAACUAGAGUACGGCAGAGGCAAGUGGAACUACAUGUGUAGCGGUAAAAUGCGUAGAUAUGUGGAAGAACACCGAUGGCGAAGGCAGCCUCCUGGGACGCAACUGACGCUCAUACACGAAAGCGUGGGGAGCAAACAGG
RNAcentral lists this ribosomal RNA (253 nucleotides) under uncultured bacterium. RNAcentral's name for it is "partial 16S ribosomal RNA". It matches the Rfam family "Bacterial small subunit ribosomal RNA", at positions 524 to 776 of the family's 1533-position model. The record is from RNAcentral.